ACUUAAAUUGAAGAGUUUGAUCAUGGCUCAGAUUGAACGCUGGCGGCAGGCCUAACACAUGCAAGUCGAGCGGUAGCACAGAGAGCUUGCUCUCGGGUGACGAGCGGCGGACGGGUGAGUAAUGUCUGGGAAACUGCCUGAUGGAGGGGGAUAACUACUGGAAACGGUAGCUAAUACCGCAUAACGUCGCAAGACCAAAGAGGGGGACCUUCGGGCCUCUUGCCAUCAGAUGUGCCCAGAUGGGAUUAGCUAGUAGGUGGGGUAACGGCUCACCUAGGCGACGAUCCCUAGCUGGUCUGAGAGGAUGACCAGCCACACUGGAACUGAGACACGGUCCAGACUCCUACGGGAGGCAG
Molecule: ribosomal RNA, 356 nt
Filed under: Priestia aryabhattai
Lineage: Bacteria; Bacillati; Bacillota; Bacilli; Caryophanales; Bacillaceae
Description: bacterial SSU rRNA
Rfam family: Bacterial small subunit ribosomal RNA
Source: RNAcentral